This is a long non-coding RNA of Dreissena polymorpha, 369 nucleotides long. RefSeq lists it as uncharacterized. The transcript has 3 exons. The record is from RefSeq and is a predicted model, not a curated record. NCBI's taxonomy places the organism in Eukaryota, Metazoa, Mollusca, Bivalvia, Myida, Dreissenidae.
AUUGCAUGCAAAGCAUCUCACUCUCAAACACCAAGGCUGACAAUGAAGGUGUCUAUUUUAGAAGCUGAACAGCAUUGUUCAGGGACAUCUCUUGAAAAGAGAGAAUGGUGGAAAGGGAAGGGUAAAAAUGAUUUCCUACUAUAGCAGGCCCCCUUGAAGGCCUCCAGGCUAGAUGCAAUGCCAAUAUGCUCCAGCAUUCCUUUCCACAAAUGUACAGCUGACAGAAGUAGGAAUGUCUAAGGAAAGGGUCAGUUAAACGGACCUAUAGAUACGGCUGACAACCCAACCUCUCCUGCUUACCAAUCUUUCCGGCCACACUGCUCAUGUUAACGAUGUGUCCCUCCCCCCUCGCCAGCAUGUGCGGCAGUG